UAAAACCCUAACUAAGAGUUUGGUUCCUGGAGUGGGGUAUUGCUGUGAUAGGCCUGACCACAUUUCUCUUUGGAAGUCUAGGUUGGGAUACUGGGGUCUGGCCAUUUAGGGGCUUGAGCAUCUCUUGCUAUAUUUCCAAGAAGAAUUGUCCCAGGAAAGUGACUGCUGGGCAGGACUAGCUGGACAUGUAAGAAAUUUGUUGGUUAUUGGUUGGAAGAUGAUCCUUAGCCUCAGUGACUUACAGUGUCCAAUGCUUUGAUGUGUCAACUGGUUCAGACUUUCCCAAGGGUUAUGAGGACAUGGACCAAUGGGUCCAUCUCUCCAAAGGAUGCUGUGACUAAAGUCCUGGAGGUCCUGGAGUACCAAGACAAAGAGGAAGAGCUGCCUUUGAUUUCACAGCCCACUAGCACACAGGUCCCAUUACCCUAGGUAUAGCCCUGAAAUCUUGAGGUCUAGGAAAGCCCAGAUCAUACUUGUUGGGAUUAACUUUGUUCAUCUCUGAUGUUUCCAGAAAUAAGCAUGGAGCCUUUCCAGGACCCUGACAACCAUCUGGAGCAGUCAGGGCAUGCAUGAAGUGGAAUGUGGAUUAUUUCCACGUAACCUCAUCUGCUUGUUCAAACCAGGGAGGCCUGGAGUAUCUCAGGUUACUCUGAGCACAGUUAAUGGCAAUCUUGAAGAAGGAACUGGCUUUCUUUGAUGUCUCACAGUCUAUAGCCACCUCUUAUUUAUCUCCUCCCUGUGUGCUGUGUUUUGCUUAGCAGAGUUGCUGCAGUGGUUCUUGUUGCUUUUGUAGUCUGUGUAAGAAUCAGAACGCACACUUUCUUAGCCUAUCUGUGUUGCUGGUAACUAAGGCCACAUUCUGACACAUUUCAUUCAGAUUUCAUACAGAUUCCUUGGCUUCCUGUGCACAAUAUGAUAUUGACCAUUUGCAAAUUCCGGGGUGGGGUGGGGCAGACAGUUGACCUUUAACCUCCACAAGCUGCUGAUCGGAUUUGCUUUGGACAUCAAGCGGUUCUGCGUUCUGGAGUUUCCUUAGCUGUGGCCUGGGGGGAACAUCUUAAUGGAGAUUAGGCCUGCCCCAAUGAGAAGAGGCUGCAAGAAUCUGCAGGGAAACUUCCAGAGCAGAGGUUCUGGUAGAGGUGUAUACAUUUGGGGGUUGCCUGAGCUCUCUAACUGGAACGAGAGAUAGAGAUGGGACCUGAGCGGAUAGAGUAGAUACUUUGUGAGCCAUGCUGAAAUGAAGUGGACGGAGCAUGCCCAGUGUGCCUUUUAGUUUUUGCAGUCCAGGGUCCUUAUGCAGGAGGGUUAAUGUCACACAGUUAUACAGCUUCCUCCUUUAGGAUGUGCAGAACACAGCGAGCUCCUGAGCCAGAGGAUUUCUGGGUCUUGUCAGGGCUCCUUCAAGGUAGCUAAGCAAACAUGGGAAAUAGAGGAGCCAGCAUAGGGAAGAAACCUGCCCCCUGCACUGUUACUGACCAUGCAUCUGUGGAGAUAAAGAACAAGGCUUAAAUGCCCUAGCCCUCCAGCUGCUCCCUGUGUGAGUCAGCAACUGUAACAAAAAGAUUACAAAGUGCUCUCUAAGCUUUGUCCAAGCCAACAGGGCCUUCUCCACCACUUGGUUCUGGCUUUAAGUUAGUUCCCACCCCUAGACUCUUAAGGAAUCUGUUUGUUUGUACAGACCAAAGGACACUUUUUUUUUUUUUUUUUUUUUUAGAGCUUUCAAGUUAUUUGUGGCAGAUAGAGCACAGACUGAGAAAGCCACGGAAGGGCUGUGGGGGAGGGGGAAGGAGACAGAUUUGAUGGAAACUCAAAGCUGACUUUCUGUUUGUUGAAACACCUCUUCCUACUUCUUACCCCUCUCUGGCUCAUAUCUCUUUUAUCUGGGACCCAGGGCCUUAGCCAACUACUUGGAAAUCACAGGCUGACAUUGCUAGAUCUCUAGGGGGCAUGGUUGGGUUUUUGGGAAGAGCCAGGAGGCAAUAUAGAACACCUGUAUUGUGUCCGCACAGGGCCCUGACACUUGGCACACACUGUAGGGUGCUUGGCCACGUACUGCAGACAUGGAACAAGAGGCAAAUUAACUAUGAAAUUAUGUUGCUUCCCGUAAAGGUUACAGACUACACUUGGAAUUUCAUCACCCCGUAUUCUAUGCCACCCCACACUCUGUACCUCACUCUAAGCAUGGCUGACUUUUCCAUGUAGAGCCUCCUUGUGGGUACACAAACUGAGUGUAGGUGGUAUGACCUUGACUUUAUAUUCCAGAGGCAGUGAACAUUCCCUCCCCACCUCUGGCAUUUCUAGGUGGUUCUUUUACUGACUCAUGCGCUUCCUGUCUCCAUUCAACCUUUCAGCGACCCAGAGCGGCCCAACCCAUUCUUUUCAGUAGAGAGAGGGACCUGAGAUGUCGCAGGAUUUCAGACAAGUUGGGAACUUGACUCCUGGCACUGUUUCUGCACAUGGGCCAAGUGGGCAGAUAUUUUUUGUAGAGAACAGUCAGUUUGAGAGCCAGCAGCAGCUGGAGGGAAGUUGGUCUGAGUGUGGCUGACUCUUUAUUUAUACUUUUGCACACUGGAACCUGUGCAUAUUCACUUUACUGUUUAGAAUCCUGAGACAAGCUUACUUUGGUAAGUGGGUGAUAGUGGAAGUAAGAGAGCCUUGGUUGGUCCUCAAGUAGUUCAGUACCGAGUGUGGGGGUCACUUUUGAACUCAAUACUUUGCCUGCUCUCAGAUCACCUCAAAUUUCUAUCGGUGAUAGUUCUGCUGGGUUUGGUCUGCAAUUGCUGAGCCCAGGGUAUAUUGUUAAGCAGCUUUCCCCGAAACUCUUCUUCAUGUGGUCAGAUUGCUCUGUGCCUGUGGUCCCGUAGGUAUUGAACAAGUCUGGCCACAUUCUCCUGUGUUCCCUGGAGUGUGGUAUGUGUACUGGGCCAGAAUUGGUGCUCAAAUAUUGAGUAGGGAGUUUUUAAGAGCAAGCUCUAAGACUCAAAACAGAAAGUACCAAGAAGAGACUACUUCAGUGACAAGAGGUUAGUAAACACACAUUUUUUUUUUUUUUUUUUUUGUAGGUGGGAAUAGGCUGCCUUGCCGUAAACUCUACUCCUAGUCUUAAUUCUAUUAUCUAAAUAAGAAUAAUGGACACCUUUUAUGUACUUUUUCUUUUAAGGUACUGGGAAAACAGAAGGAACAUGAGACACAAAGUCAUACAUAAAACACAUGGUUAGUCUGUCCCUUUAAAAAAACCUUUCAAGCCUUCAUGAGGAGAUUCCAAGCUUAUUUUUCUUUCUCUAGCCUUUAUCAGAAGGGACAUAAUUCCACAGCCCUAAUGCAGCAUGCUGACAGGCAUCCUGCAAGUGCACACCAAGUGCUUGCUUGUGCCAGGCAGCGUGCCAGGGCCUUGGGUGGACAUGGCAGACAUGCAAUUCUAUUUUUGUGGUAGAGACAGACACUGGACACGCAUACGGUCCGGGCAGCAUAAGGAGUGCUUUGCAGAAGCAGGGGGCACUGUAAGAGUGGAUUUGCCGAGGGCUCAUGACCUCCCUUCCUCAUGCAGAGGGGAUGAUGGGAGGAGGCAGGAUUAGUCUCAGGACAGCUGCUCAUAAAAGAGAGUGAGGUCAUGUUGAAGCUGUGGCCAAAUUGAAUUUUCGUGGCUGGUGACAACACGGAAGAAGUGCCAAGCGUUUGCCUGGUGGUCUGUCCUGGACAACUGGGCUGGACAUUGACAAAGGAGACCUUGAGGACUCUUGAGCGUUCAUGCCAGACCUGGGCAGGUGCCAGACCCCAGCCUCCAGCAGCCUUCAGAUUCCAACCUCCAUUUCCCUAGCUCUCUCAUGCAGAAAUGCCAGUUCUGGCCUUCAUGUUUUCUCCCCGCAGCCUGCUUACUUUCCCAGAUCUCUGUAGUGAGGGCAUGGGCUGCAUUUUAAUCUUGACAUUACUCUUUAUUGUCAUGGUUCUUUCCUUUUCCUCUGUCCCUUCCUCUCUUUCCUUUCUUCUUUCCCUUCCUCCUUAUCUACUUCCUGCUUCCCCUUCAUUCCCUUUUCUCUUUUUUCAUUACCUUUUGAUCUCCAUUGGUGUGUGGGUGUGAUUGAUUGAUUGCAAAAUAAAAUGAUGCUGCUUGUAAGUAGCUGGUUUUCUUACAACCUGUGAAUACAGAUUCUGACCUCUGCAAACUUUCGGAGGGCAUGCUCUUUUCAUAUGCAGUUAUCAGGAGUAGGAGUCUUCAUCCCAAGGACAGUGGGAAGUUCCCAAGCCUUUCCUGAAAAACUCUGAGGGAUGCUUGCAUAGUCCACAAAAUUGUCUCGAUGGCCACGUGUCAACCUGGCCACCAGUAUCAUCCCAGAAAAAGAAUUAUCUUCCUUUACUUUGACAUAGCCAUUGGGGCUCUUGCAGACUCCCAAAGCAUAGCGCUGUGUAGGGCAUAAAAGCCAAACCUUGAAGGCUUAGGGAGAAGAGCAGCAGAAUGCUAGUUGCUGCACGACAGGGUGACUUUCAGGGGCCCACAACCUAAGCUUGAUUUCUGUUCUGUACUGAAGGCCAGCUCCACUUUGAACAUGGAUCAGUACAGUACCCUGCAGUGCCUCUGUUAAUCCUAGAGACAAAGCCUCCUGCAGCCCACUUUCUCCUACCAAUAGCUUCCUGAUUCUCUCCAUCACAGACACAAUGGCACUGGUAACACUGUCACUUUAUUCUUCUGUUGUGUCUAGUUCUGUGGCCCGGAAAAGACAAUGACAACAUUCAGCAGGGUACUUCCUAUUGCCUGCCUUGCCCCAUCUAGCAUAACAGAACAGCCAAGGCUUCAUAUCAGCUGAGCAGAGCAAAGGACUCUAACCUGGUCCUCUAUCUACUUUAUAUCAUGUCUAGAUUAUAAAUAUGACAAAGUGAAGAUUAUGUAAAUGUUAUUCUUCUGUGUGGUUGAUGAAUAAUGACAAUAAAAAGCUCUGUGUGUUCAAUACUUUUUAAAACGUUCUUUAAAAAUAUUGUCAAUCAAGUUUGUUGACUCUGGACACAGUACCUAUGGAUAUGGAGGACUCUGCUUAUAUGGAAGGAUACACAAUAUGUAUAACUUUCUCACUUGUUGCCAGUACUGAAGGACAGCUACUGAGGGAAACCUGCUCUGAGAUUCAGAGACCUACUGAAACACGCUACAACUCCCACAAGUAAAGAAAAGACGCCAUCCUCCUAGACCUCAGCCUUUUUCAGUUAGAUGCAUGAUCUCACAACAUGGGUGCCAUGAUCUUCCCAAUUCCAAAAUCCUCACUCUGGAUCCUCCUUAAGUUGGCAGAUCACAGCCCCUCUGAAGAGGGCAUGGUGCAGCCACCACCCAGGACACGUGCCCAGCAAGCAGCCAUGGAAUUCUGACCUGAUUAGAAGUAGAACUCGCAGAUAUCAGUGUUGGCAGCUGUGGGGAUGCUCCAUGCAACUUGAAACAUAGUGAACUGGCAGAUUUGGGCUGCAGGCCCAUGUGGGUGUGGGUGUGGGUGUGGGUGUGGGUGUCUCCCACCUUGAGGCUCAGGACUGACAAGGGAGUUGGAUAAGGUGAAUCGUGGGGCUACUGAGGCAGGGCUCUAGUUGAGACGUAUCUGUUUCACAUAUCACUGUUUCGUAUCAGAGUUCUGAAUUGGACUGAACUAAAGGGAUUUUGGUCAUGAGCUGAAAAUUGUUUCAAUAAACAUACACAUUUACAGUGACA
Mus musculus (house mouse) is the source of this 5683-nucleotide long non-coding RNA. RefSeq annotates it as predicted gene, 46284. The transcript is spliced from 2 exons. The record is from RefSeq and is a predicted model, not a curated record. Lineage: Eukaryota; Metazoa; Chordata; Mammalia; Rodentia; Muridae.